This is an unclassified non-coding RNA of Cricetulus griseus (Chinese hamster), 150 nucleotides long. Ensembl annotates it as predicted gene, 27627. The record is from Ensembl. Lineage: Eukaryota; Metazoa; Chordata; Mammalia; Rodentia; Cricetidae.
GCAUGGUGUGAUUAACCUACUAACCAUCCCAGGGCUCGGCCAGGACUCUGUGGCACGCAACGAGAUGCCUGGCCUUCUGUCGAUUGACUAAUCCACUAACCUGGCCCGAGCAUGUCCUACUAACCCUGUGGCAGCCAAACCUUACUAACU